UGGUUCUGGCAUCGAUGAAGAACGCAGCGAAAUGCGAUAAGUAAUGUGAAUUGCAGAAUUCAGUGAAUCAUCGAAUCUUUGAACGCACAUUGCGCCCGCCAGUAUUCUGGCGGGCAUGCCUGUUCGAGCGUCAUUUCAACCCCUCAGGCCCUGGUGCCUGGCGUCGGGGCUCUUCCCUCGCGGGAAGCCCCUAGAGACAGUGGCGGACCCGCCGCGGCUCCGAGCGCAGUAGUAAUAUUCUCGCUUAGGAGGUCCGCGGGGGGCUCCCGGCCGUGAAACCCAGCCCCUAAGAAGGCUGAAUCAUCAAGGUUGACCUCGGAUCAGGUAGGAAUACCCGCUGA
Molecule: unclassified non-coding RNA, 341 nt
Filed under: uncultured fungus
Lineage: Eukaryota; Fungi
Description: partial contains 5.8S ribosomal RNA and internal transcribed spacer 2
Rfam family: 5.8S ribosomal RNA (bases 1-133)
Source: RNAcentral